CUGUAUCCAUGUGACCUGCAGAUAGCGCUGUAUCCAUGUGACCUGCAGAUAGCGCUGUAUCCAUGUGACCUGCAGAUAGCGCUGUAUUCAUGUGACCUGUAGGUGGCGCUGUAUCCAUGUGACCUGCAGGUGGCGCUGUAUCCAUGUGACCUGCAGAUAGUGCUGUAUCCACGUGACCUGCAGGUGGCGCUGUAUCCACGUGACCUGCAGGUGGCGCUGUAUCCACGUGACCUGCAGGUGGCGCUGUAUCCACGUGACCUGCAGGUGGCGCUGUAUCCACGUGACCUGCAGGUGGCGCUGUAUCCAUGUGACCUGCAGGUGGCGCUGUAUCCAUGUGACCGCCAGGUGGCGCUGUAUCCACGUGACCUGCAGAUAGUGCUGUAUCCACGUGACCUGCAGGUGGCGCUGUAUCCACGUGACCUGCAGGUGGCGCUGUAUCCACGUGA
Molecule: long non-coding RNA, 446 nt
Organism: Bufo bufo (common toad)
Lineage: Eukaryota; Metazoa; Chordata; Amphibia; Anura; Bufonidae
Exons: 4
Source: RefSeq, a predicted model, not a curated record